UGAGGAAUAUUGGGCAAUGCCCGGAAGGGUGACCCAGCAACGCCGCGUGGAGGAUGAAUGCCGUAAGGUUGUAAACUCCUGUUAGGGGGGACGAAUCGUUCCGAUAGGCUCGGAACUUGACAGUACCCUCAGAGAAAGCCCCGGCUAACUACGUGCCAGCAGCCGCGGUAAUACGUAGGGGGCAAGCGUUGUCCGGAUUUACUGGGUGUAAAGGGCGCGCAGGCGGAUUAGCAAGUCAGAGGUGAAAUCCUACAGCUUAACUGUAGAACUGCCUUUGAAACUGUUAAUCUUGAGUACGGAAGAGAGAGAUGGAAUUCCAGGUGUAGUGGUGAAAUACGUAGAUAUCUGGAAGAACACCAGUUGCGAAGGCGGUCUCUUGGUCCGUUACUGACGCUCAGGCGCGAAAGCGUGGGGAGCAAACAGGAUUAGAUACNCUGGUAGUCCACGCUGUAANCGAUGAAUANUAGGUGUUGUGUCGUAAGAUUCAGUGCCGCAGCUAACGCAUUAAG
This 509-nucleotide ribosomal RNA is filed under the name uncultured bacterium. RNAcentral's name for it is "bacterial SSU rRNA". It matches the Rfam family "Bacterial small subunit ribosomal RNA", at positions 355 to 864 of the family's 1533-position model. The record is from RNAcentral.